RNAcentral lists this ribosomal RNA (254 nucleotides) under uncultured bacterium. RNAcentral describes it as "partial 16S ribosomal RNA". It matches the Rfam family "Bacterial small subunit ribosomal RNA", at positions 524 to 776 of the family's 1533-position model. The record is from RNAcentral.
UACGUAGGGGGGCGAGCGUUGUCCGGAAUCAUUGGGCGUAAAGCGCGUGUAGGCGGCUCGGUAAGUCUGCUGUGAAAGUCCAGGGCUCAACCCUGGGAUGCCGGUGGAUACUGUCGAGCUCGAGUCCGGAAGAGGCGAGUGGAAUUCCUGGUGUAGCGGUGAAAUGCGCAGAUAUCAGGAGGAACACCAAUGGCGAAGGCAGCUCGCUGGGACGUGACUGACGCUGAGACGCGAAAGCGUGGGGAGCAAACAGG